GGGGAGAACCAGAUGUUCCCCCAAAGGUUCCGAAGUAACAUGGGCUCCCCUCCACCAGUACACGUUUUCUCUCCAGUGAGCUCGCUGGGUUUCCAGCAUUUUCCUCCUGGAGGAGGGAUCCCAAGCUCAUAUUUAUGUUCUGUCUGAAAUUAAUGCAAGGGAAACUUUCAAAUGCUAAUCUAUCUUCCAGGAUUAGCCGGCCGGAUGUCAAGUGACAGAGGUGUUUGUUUUCCUGAGGAAGUGUGACAGGAGGGCUGCAUGGAGGGACUUUGGGAUGCAUGGACACUGGGGGUACCACAGGGCUUCUGAUCUCCCAAGGAAGGUCUGCCUGGGAAACUGGCAGAGCUGGGUCCUUUUUCUCCUGUUUCACCAGCCAGCCCAGGGCAGGGUGGGGGCAUUUUCUGUUCAGUAAGGGCCAGGAUGACGCCUCCCCUGCACCCAGUCUUGUGCCAGGAAUUGAGACACAUGGUCCCCACCCCGGAGGAGGUCACAGUGCAGGGAGGGGAGGGAGAACAGGCAGGCAAACCCUUACAGGGCAGUGAGAGCCCAGCAGCGAGGGAGGGCCACCAGGGGCUAUGGGGCUGAAAAGGAAGGGCUUUCACGACAGAGGACAUAGCACAUGCACAGACUGGGAGAUGACAGAGUGCUCAGCACAAGCAGACCUGUGAUAAGGAAAUCAUGCAGGGCUGUGAGAGCCCAGCUCCGAGGUCGUGGAAAGCCCAGGCAGAAGAGGAAAAGGGCACUCUCAGCAGAGCAGAGGGCCCAAGCAGCAGCUGGAGUUUUCAUUUUGAGGGGAGGAGACUGGCCAUCAGUAAGAAUGACCUAUCAACGUGACCAACAUUUCACUCAGCUUCUGUUUCUCUCACUUCCCGUCUGCACCUCGACUUACCCAUCUGCCGAACGGAAUAAUAAAUACCACCCUGUCUCCCGCCAAGAGGAAUUGAGGACAUAGAGGUCAUAUGAACGUCCUUCAGGCAGGAUCGUACCACCCUGCAGACAGCUAAUGCUGCUGUUAGUAAUAAAAAAGAUGUUACUGGUGUUUGA
Molecule: long non-coding RNA, 1044 nt
Organism: Panthera uncia (snow leopard)
Lineage: Eukaryota; Metazoa; Chordata; Mammalia; Carnivora; Felidae
Exons: 2
Source: RefSeq, a predicted model, not a curated record